AGUGAACGCUGGCGGUAGGCCUAACACAUGCAAGUCGAACGGCAGCACAGUAAGAGCUUGCUCUUACGGGUGGCGAGUGGCGGACGGGUGAGGAAUACAUCGGAAUCUACUUUUUCGUGGGGGAUAACGUAGGGAAACUUACGCUAAUACCGCAUACGACCUACGGGUGAAAGCAGGGGAUCUUCGGACCUUGCGCGAUUGAAUGAGCCGAUGUCGGAUUAGCUAGUUGGCGGGGUAAAGGCCCACCAAGGCGACGAUCCGUAGCUCGUCUGAGGAUGAUCAGCCACACUGGAACUGAGACACGGUCCAGACUCCUACGGGAGGCAGCAGUGGGGAAUAUUGGACAAUGGGCGCAAGCCUGAUCCAGCCAUACCGCGUGGGUGAAGAAGGCCUUCGGGUUGUAAAGCCCUUUUGUUGGGAAAGAAAAGCAGCAGGUUAAUACCCCGCUGUUCUGACGGUACCCAAAGAAUAAGCACCGGCUAACUUCGUG
RNAcentral lists this ribosomal RNA (490 nucleotides) under uncultured bacterium. RNAcentral's name for it is "partial 16S ribosomal RNA". It matches the Rfam family "Bacterial small subunit ribosomal RNA", at positions 29 to 507 of the family's 1533-position model. The record is from RNAcentral.